Molecule: long non-coding RNA, 4224 nt
Filed under: Populus trichocarpa (black cottonwood)
Lineage: Eukaryota; Viridiplantae; Streptophyta; Magnoliopsida; Malpighiales; Salicaceae
Description: long non-coding RNA (PTRI_LNC000209)
Source: RNAcentral
CUUUCUCUCUUUUAUUUUCUCCGUUUUUUACUUUCAUUCUUUUUCUUAUUUGUGCAGUACUUCUUAAGUUAAGAUGCAUGUUAUUGUUUAUUGAUUGUAGUUAUUCUUGUUAUGAUUGAGUAAUCACAAUUUGUGUGUGAGGGUGUGUUUCGGGGGGGGGGGGGGGUGUGGCAUGUGUGCUUUAGCCGGGUACUAACUAGUCGGAAUUGCCUAGCUUCAAUUCUAUGUGUGUUUACAUGUGCUGGUUUGAAUAUGAAUUGCAUAAUUUUCAUGCCUUUCAUUCAUUCUUUGAAGUGGAAAUAACCUAUGUUAUCAUGUCAUGUUUGUUGAUAUAACAUGGGUUAAGCAUUGGUGAAGCAACUAAUAUUUGUUUCAUGAUAAGGUCGCUGGGUUUUUUGUAGAGUUCUUUAAACGAUACCAUAGUUUAUCCCAAACCCCCUUGCAUGGUACUUUCUCAAAAAUUGGUCUAGUGGGCUAAAGUUCCGCUGUGCUCCUUCAUGUGGCAAGAAUUUGACUCGGGCAGUUGAGCCCAACAUUAAGCUUGAGUUUUUUCCAGCAAGAAGUGAAAGUAACCAACAAGUAGGCCCCGCAUAGAGGGCAUGGAUGGUAUGUAUGCUUUAGCUGGUUUGAAUAUGAAUUACAUAAUUUUCAUGCCUUUCAUUCAUUCUUUGAAGUGGAAAUAACCUAUGUUAUCAUGUCAUGUUCCUUGAUAUAACCUGGGUUAAACAUUGGUGAAGCAAUUAAUAUUUGUUUCAUGAUAAGGUCGCUGGGAUUAUUUUAGAGUUCUUUAAACGAUGCCAUAGUUUAUCCCAAACUCUCUUGCUUGGUACUUUCUCAAACAUUGGUCCAGUGGGCUAAAGUUCCUCUGUGCUCCUUCAUGUGGCAAGAAUUUGACUCGGGCAGUUAAGCUAAACAUUAAGCUUGAUAUUGCACCUCUAUGUGGGGCCUACUUGUUGGUUACUUUCACUUCUUGCUGAAAAAUAAAAAACUCUCCUUCUCAUCUCCUUUUAUGUCCAAUUUGAUUGAUAUGCUACUUAGGCCAGACACCUAUUCAAGGUUAAUUUAUAUCCAAGAAUUUCAGGCUUGUCUUGGUUUGUAUUUGCUGAUGUCUUAAGCCUAUAAGUGUGCUUAUUUUUAAAAGGGGAGCGAUGCAGCACAGAGUGAUUUAUUUAGAUAUCCUAGACUGACUUGAUUUGUUCAGUAUAUGUUUUUUUUCUCUGUCUGUGUGAUCACAUGUCUGCUUAUGUUUGUGUGCAACUUCUAUUAUGAUUAUGGGUUGUUAGGCAAUCAUCAAUCUUGUUGCGUCUCCUGUUUAAAGGUGAUUAUAUAAUAUCUGUGAAUAUAGGUCUGUAGACUCAGCUAUGAAAAAUCAUUUACGUUUAUGUCAUUUCUUGUCUCUUAUUUCUUUUCCUUGUCAUAACUCAUAUCGUCUGAUCCAUUUAUUCUGUGUCCAAAAAUGGCAGCUAAUGACCCAGCACAUUGAAAUUUAAUUUAAUAAACUCUGUAAAGAAGUUACCCUAAUAUAUAUGCUGUAUUUGGAGGACAAGUCAAUUACCAUUAAGUGUUCAACAACUAGUGAUCGGUGAGGAAUAAUCUUAAAGGAAAAUGAUAUGAUGAUCGAUGGGAUUUCAGUGGGUCCAUUGCGGUGAAAUGUGAUUAAUGCCAUCCCUCCUCGGUGGUUAAUACCAGGACAAGAAGAUGGAGGCGUUGCAAAGCUUGUUAGUGCUUCCAUGGUGUCAGCCAUUGGAACUGAAAUGUUUUUUGGGAUGUUACAAAGUAGCAGUAAAUCUUUUGUGAAAUCGAUAUGAUAGAUAGAAGGCAGAGUUAAGAUGAAAGGGAAAUUUGAGCUUAUCAAAUCUUACAAAAGAUUUAUACAUAAAUGAUUGUUUAAAUAAAAAUUUGGGUUGGAAUAUCUCAUGUAGUAGAUGAUGGAUCAAUGAGAUAGAGGGUUUAUUUGAAAGAUUUAGCUAAUUGAGAUUUGAGACUUUAUUGCAAGCAAUAUAAGGGUUCGGAGGUUGUUCCGCGUUUGCACAGUUCAAGGCUUCCUCCCACGAAGCUGCACCGGAGCCAAGCAUUUCAUGGCACUCUUAUUGGGUUGGAAUUGGGUGUUGACCUGGGUAAUUAUGUACGAAGGCUAGAGAAUUGAUACUUUGAGUGAAUGUUGUUUGAAGAGAGUUAUUCACUUGUAAGGGAGGGUGUUGUUUUACUUGGAACUAUUAUGGUUCAGCUAGAUAAACAGAUUGAAGAGAAUGGCAUAACUGAGUAGAUUAUCCCUCAGAUACAUUUUCUUAAUCUCAAAUAUCAAUGCUGUUUCCUUUUGUUUUCUGGAUUUGAGUAAUUAUUCUGAAAUUAUUACUCUUUUAGUGUUUGAAGGGAUCCUUUGGGUGUGUUGGGUUUUAGCUAAGGCAUAAAUUGAUUUAGAUUUCAAAUUUCACUGGUGUGCCUCAUGUAUCAGAAUUGAAAGGAGUUUUAUUGUUGAGCCUUUGGAGAAUGAGGGUGAUGGUAGGCAUCUAAAGAAUUCUGUAUUUCUGAGGGUUAAUGCCAGGACAAGAAGAUGGAGGAGUUGCAAAGCUUGUUAGUGCUUCCAUGGUGUCAGCCAUUGGAACUGAAAUGUUUUUUGGGAUGUUACAAAGUAGCAGUAAAUCUUUUGUGAAAUCAAUAUCAUAGAUAGAAGGCAGAGUUAAGAUGAAAGGGAAAUUUGAGCUUAUCAAAUCUUACAAAAGAUUUAUACAUAAAUGAUUGUUUAAAUAAAAAUUUGGGUUGGAAUUGGGUGAGGAGGUCUUUUGGGAUGUUAGCAUGUUUGUUAAACAAAUGUAAGAGAAAAUUUUGAACUUAUCAGAUCUUACAAAAGAUUGAGAAAACUGGAGUUUCCUUGAUCUUUAAAAAACUCUACUUUGAUGAAACAAAGACAAACCAUCACCUGGACAAUGUAUUGAAGAAUCUUUUAUUACAACUGAAAUGGGUAUGGGAGAUGAUUACGGCUUUAUGUGCUGAUAGGAUUACAUUUGAUGUGUUGGGAGAUUUCCACGUUCAUGAGAUGGUUAUAGCAGCAAGUAGGUUGGCUUGUAAAGGACACAAGGGUCUUGUUUGGAAAGCAAACUAUUUUGUUGAAUAAAUGUAAAAAUUGAGUCAAAAAAGAUCUCAUUAAUAUGGUAAAGAAUACAUGAAAGAAUACACGGUACUUGCUCAGGGUAUCCAUAGAGUUAGAGGGUCUGAUUGUAAAAGAAAAACUUUGAAAUACUCACAUCUUCAAGACAUCAUUUUUAGAGAGAAAUUUAUAUUGGACAGUAUAGAAGAACUACUAAAAGAGAAAUGCACAUGGCAUGAGAAUAACCCGUUCUCGUAAGAGCAAAAGAGAACAGAACAAUGUUAAAAAAACUUUCUAAUUCUGUAUGUUUGCUAAGGAUAUUAUAGUAAAAGCAUCAGUACAUAACACCAUAAAGAUGCGAGAAAAACUAUUUUGUCCUAUUUUAAUGGGAGGAAAGUUGUUUGUCCUGGAAGAUUCUAGUGUUUCCUUCAUUCCGAAUGGUCCAAAUCAUAGAAAAUAUUGCACACUUCUAUGGCACCUUCCCUUGUUGCACACUUCUAUGGCACCUUCCCUUGUUUGAUCUCCAAAAUCCCAUUUGCAUGCAAGAGUAGGUCUUCUGGAGAAUUAGCGAAAAUCUCACAUAACAUGUUUAUUCAAUUUUAGAGAUUUUAUAAUUGGCAAAAAAGUAGAUUCGCCUAGCAUUAUUAUGUUGAAAAGACUUGUUCGUUGAUAGGCACUAGCAUCUUUUACUGUUCUCAAUAUAUGAAAAGAUUGGGUGAUGCAUGGGGAUGAACAUGCAAUGAAAAUGGUUGCUUUAGUUGCAUUACGUUAACCCAAAAAAAUAUUUGUGAUGAGAGGGAGAAUAUUAUCAGAAACCAAAUCAAUUUAUUUGCUAAUUAAAUUUCUGAUUGUAAUGGCGCACUGAAAUGAGUAGGAUUUAGUGCGUUUGAUCUCAGAUAUCUUGCUUUGCCAGCUCUAUGAGAUACAAUUAGGAAGGCUCCCAUUGAAGGUAUAGAAGAAUAUUUAAGUUUUGGAAGAAUUUUUCAAAACAGUUGGAGAACCAAGGGGAAAUGUUACCUGAGUAAUUUGCUAGUUUCACUUGUAAAAGGCCUUUAUGCUAUUGGCUAGAGCUCAAAUUCUUGCUCUUUUAGUGGUUAUUAUUUUUGUGUAUUUUAAUGGUUUUCCUCAUCCAGGAC